CCGAGUUUACAACUCCCAAACCCCUGUGAACAUACCACUUGUUGCCUCGGCGGAUCAGCCCGCUCCCGGUAAAACGGGACGGCCCGCCAGAGGACCCCUAAAUUCUGUUUCUAUAUGUAACUUCUGAGUAAAACCAUAAAUAAAUCA
This 147-nucleotide unclassified non-coding RNA is filed under the name soil metagenome. RNAcentral's name for it is "partial internal transcribed spacer 1". The record is from RNAcentral.